Molecule: ribosomal RNA, 466 nt
Filed under: uncultured bacterium
Lineage: Bacteria
Description: partial 16S ribosomal RNA
Rfam family: Bacterial small subunit ribosomal RNA
Source: RNAcentral
GACGAACGCUGGCGGCGCGCCUAACACAUGCAAGUCGAACGAGCGAGCGAGACCUUUCUUUCUUGAUCGAGUGGCGAACGGGUGAGUAACGCGUGAGUAACCUGCCUCUAAGAGGGGGACAACAUUUGGAAACUACUGCUAAUACCGCAUAAGCGCACGGGCCCGCAGGGCAGGGAUGGAAAAGUAGCAAUGCGCGUUGAGAUCGCCCCGCGUCCGAUUAGCUAGGUGGGGAGGUAACUGCCCACCAAGGCGACGAGCGGUAGCCGGACGGAGAGGUUGCCCGGCCACAUUGGGGAUGCGACCCGGACCAGACCCCUACGCGGGGGAGCAGUGGGGAAUACUGCACGAGGGGGCAAACUCUGGCGCAGCGGCGCGGCGUGGAGGAAGAAGGUCUUCGGAUUGUGAACUCCUGUUGUUGGGGAAGAUAAUGACGGUACCCAAUAAGGAAGUGACGGCUAACUACGUG